This 421-nucleotide ribosomal RNA is filed under the name uncultured bacterium. Its description in RNAcentral is "bacterial SSU rRNA". It matches the Rfam family "Bacterial small subunit ribosomal RNA", at positions 355 to 774 of the family's 1533-position model. The record is from RNAcentral.
UAAGGAAUAUUGGUCAAUGGACGCAAGUCUGAACCAGCCAUGCCGCGUGAAGGAUGAAGGUCCUCUGGAUUGUAAACUUCUUUUAUCUGGGACGAAAACGGGAUUUAUAUCUCAAUUGACGGUACCAGAGGAAUAAGCACCGGCUAACUCCGUGCCAGCAGCCGCGGUAAUACGGAGGGUGCGAGCGUUAUCCGGAUUUACUGGGUUUAAAGGGUGCGUAGGUGGGCUUAUAAGUCAGUGGUGAAAUCUCCGAGCUUAACUUGGAAACUGCCGUUGAUACUAUAGGUCUUGAAUUAUCUGGAGGUGAGCGGAAUAUGUCAUGUAGCGGUGAAAUGCUUAGAUAUGACAUAGAACACCAAUUGCGAAGGCAGCUUACUACACAAUCAUUGACACUGAGGCACGAAAGCGUGGGUAGCGAACA